RNAcentral lists this ribosomal RNA (253 nucleotides) under uncultured bacterium. RNAcentral's name for it is "partial 16S ribosomal RNA". It matches the Rfam family "Bacterial small subunit ribosomal RNA", at positions 524 to 776 of the family's 1533-position model. The record is from RNAcentral.
UACGAAGGGGGCUAGCGUUGUUCGGAAUUACUGGGCGUAAAGCGCGUGUAGGCGGUUGUUCAAGUCAGGUGUGAAAGCCUUGAGCUCAACUCAAGAAAUGCACUUGAUACUGGAUGACUAGAGGACCGGAGAGGAUAGUGGAAUUCCCAGUGUAGUGGUGAAAUACGUAGAGAUUGGGAAGAACACCAGUGGCGAAGGCGGCUAUCUGGACGGUUUCUGACGCUAAGACGCGAAAGCGUGGGGAGCGAACAGG